Molecule: ribosomal RNA, 304 nt
Filed under: uncultured bacterium
Lineage: Bacteria
Description: partial 16S ribosomal RNA
Rfam family: Bacterial small subunit ribosomal RNA
Source: RNAcentral
CAGCAGUAGCCGCGGGAAUACGUAGGUGGCAAGGGUUGUCCGGAAUUAUUGGGCGUAAAGGGCUUGCAGGCGGUUUCUUAAGUCUGAUGUGAAAGCCCCCGGCUCAACCGGGGAGGGUCAUUGGAAACUGGGAAACUUGAGUGCAGAAGAGGAGAGUGGAAUUCCACGUGUAGCGGUGAAAUGCGUAGAGAUGUGGAGGAACACCAGUGGCGAAGGCGACUCUCUGGUCUGUAACUGACGCUGAGGAGCGAAAGCGUGGGGAGCGAACAGGAUUAGAUACCCGAGUAGUCCCUGUCUCUUAUAC